Molecule: ribosomal RNA, 521 nt
Filed under: uncultured prokaryote
Description: bacterial SSU rRNA
Rfam family: Bacterial small subunit ribosomal RNA
Source: RNAcentral
UGGGGAAUCUUGCACAAUGGAGGAAACUCUGAUGCAGCGAUGCCGCGUGAGUGAAGAAGGCCUUUGGGUUGUAAAGCUCUUUUGUAGGGGAAGAUAAUGACUGUACCCUAAGAAUAAGGUCCGGCUAACUUCGUGCCAGCAGCCGCGGUAAUACGAAGGGACCUAGCGUAGUUCGGAAUCACUGGGCGUAAAGCGCGCGUAGGCCGUUGAGUUAGUUAAUUGUGAAAUCCCAAAGCUUAACUUUGGAACUGCAAUUAAAACUGCUCGACUAGAGUUUGAUAGAGGAAAGCGGAAUACAUAGUGUAGAGGUGAAAUUCGUAGAUAUUAUGUAGAACACCAGUUGCGAAGGCGGCUUUCUGGAUCAACACUGACGCUGAGGCGCGAAAGUAUGGGUAGCAAAGAGGAUUAGAUACCCUCGUAGUCCAUACCAUAAACGAUGAUUGCUAGAUGUUGGAAAUUUAUUUUCAGUAUCGCAGCUAACGCAUUAAGCAAUCCGCCUGGGGAGUACGACCGCAAGGUUA